This 137-nucleotide ribosomal RNA is filed under the name Escherichia coli. RNAcentral's name for it is "partial 23S ribosomal RNA". The stretch from base 1 to 120 matches the Rfam family "Bacterial large subunit ribosomal RNA", at positions 2811 to 2925 of the family's 2925-position model. The record is from RNAcentral. Lineage: Bacteria; Pseudomonadati; Pseudomonadota; Gammaproteobacteria; Enterobacterales; Enterobacteriaceae.
CUCCCUGACCCUUUAAGGGUCCUGAAGGAACGUUGAAGACGACGACGUUGAUAGGCCGGGUGUGUAAGCGCAGCGAUGCGUUGAGCUAACCGGUACUAAUGAACCGUGAGGCUUAACCUUACAACGCCGAAGCUGUU